This 580-nucleotide long non-coding RNA is filed under the name Carica papaya (papaya). RNAcentral describes it as "long non-coding RNA (CPAP_LNC003687)". Lineage: Eukaryota; Viridiplantae; Streptophyta; Magnoliopsida; Brassicales; Caricaceae. The record is from RNAcentral.
UCAAAGCCAGAGGAGACAUCUCCGGUAGCUGCAACAAAUCCGCGUCCAAACACGCCAUAUCUCCCACAAAAAGAGUAUCCAUGCUCAUUCACAUAACCCAAAUCAAUAAUCUCAAGCAGAUCAGCCAAACCCUAGAUGCCAAAAAAAUCGACGCUCAAAAGAACCAACUCCUCCAAUUCUUUUGAUCUAUAUAUAGAAAGAAUUACUCAAACUUUAUUUGAAACUCGAUGAAUGUGAUUAAAAAUACCAGAUUCGGAGGUCUAGGAACACAAGUAACCCUAGAUCUUCACGAAAUUAAAAAAGAACCUCGUUCUUCGUUUUCAUUUUUCUUUCUCUUCCUUCUAUGAAGACAGAGAGAGGUAGAAGUGAUUAGAGAGAUCGGAAGUAAGAAAGAAAAUGAAAGAAAAUGAGGGGAAGUGAGAGAAAACCUUGUUGGAGAAAACGAUGCGAUUCAAGAGGAGAUUAGCUACGAAAAUGCAGAGGAUUGAGUAGAGAGAGAGAGAGAGAGAGAGAGAGAGAAGAGAGAUAUGUAGCUUUUAUUUUUCCUUUCUUUUUAUUUUCCUGGAAAAUAAAUAAACAC